UUUUUAUUUUAGCCAACAAUUAUUUUUAGUUUCACUAUAAAAUAUAGAGAAUAAACAUUAUUAAAUUAAGUAAUAUAUCAUAUACAUAAUAGCUAAUAGUAGCUCAAAUAAAAUUUGCAUACGAAAUUUGCAUGACUGAAUGUUUUCCCUCUUUCCUUCUUCCUUUUUUAUUCUUUUCUUCCUUUCCACAUAUUCCACAUAGUUUUUUUUUUUUUUUUUUUUUAUCAAGACCUCAUUUGGAUUGGAUGAAAUGUUCAAGAUCUCAUUUGGAUUGGCUGGAAUCUUCAAGGCACACACAAGUGUGGAGUGUUUGAGCAGCAUUGCUCAGCUCAUUCAAGAGUCCAAGACGCAAUAAUAGAAUUGUAUUCUGCAGUCUGCUAUCAUUUGCCUGUUUGGAGUCCUGAUAUACUUCAGAAGCAUAUGUGGCUUUAAAGAAGAAGGGGCGAGAAUCUGCAAACCUGAUUAAAAUCAACACAAGAUGGACAACAAUGCACAGGCAAAAACAGCAUCUGGAAAACUAUGGGCAAAUUUCCACUCAGGUCUAACAGCAGUACUAACUGUUGCUGUAGUUAUAAUAGUUAUAACAGGUUAUGCAAUAAUUUCAAAGGUUGUAGAAGCAAUCGUAGGAGCAGCAGCAGGAGCGGCAGCUGGAUUGGGAGUUUCACAUUUGCAGUGGAACGAAGAAGAAAGAUCAAAACCAGCAGCAACAUUAGUAAUAGCAGUAGUCGGAAGCAUUGCAGGAACUGCAGCGGCGAUGUUGCGAUCAUUGGUAGCAGCUUACUCAAUAACAGGAUCAGCAAUAGUUGGAGCACUGGCAGGAGCUGCAAUAGUGGCCCUAGCAAAAGGACUAUUACAAAGGCUCAUUGACUUUGUAAAGUUGCUAAUGGAUCAUUGGAAUGAACUGAAAAUUAUGGGUAUAGGAGCAAUCUGUCUACUAGCAGUAGGAAAGCUAAAACAAUUUGCAAACUGGCUGAGUGAUAAAAUGAAGCCACUCAUGGAUAAAAUAAAGGGGAUAGCAGACAACGUAAAAAAAGCAAUACAAGGAAUUACAGACCCAGUAAACAAUUUAUUCGCACCAUUUGGAGGAGCAGGAGCAAUCGGAGGAGCACUUGCUGCAGCAUUGGGGUCAAUGGGAUUCGCAUCAGCAUUAGGAUUGCUUGGAACAGUAGGAGCCAUGUCAAUCCUUGUUGGGGGAACAGGAAUUCUGUAUGGAUUGCAUUUGAGAGGGGAAUUGAAGACACAAGCAAAUAAGGUGGCGGAAUUAGUUAAUUCUGUGGGAGUGUUGCAGUUUUGGAUUGUGGUGUUGCUUCUCUUUUUGUUUUUAAGUCUUUUGCAGUGUUUCCGCUGUGAACGACACUGUUCAUGCUAAUCAGAAAGACAUAAAUACUAGAGCACAGGUGUCAAACUCAGUUUCUAGGGGGCCUCAGCUCUGCACAGUUUAGUUCACACCCUAAUUAAACACACCUCAUCAAACUGAUUAGGUAAAGCUUGUUUGAAAGCUACAGGUAAUAGUGUUGGAGGAGGGUUGAAACUAAACUGUGCAGGGCUGCGGUUUGAGUUUGACACCCCUGUACUAGAGGAUGCCUCAAAAAAAGAUGAACGAGGAACUUGUUUUGGUUUAUUUCUUUUAGCCAUUUAACAUUAUAGUGACUGGGUUGAGAUGUCUAUUAUUUGUUACUGUGAAAAUUUCUUUAGGCCAGUCACAAUAGCAACAUUUUAUACUUCUCUCUUAUAAAACAAAGAUCAUUUACUGGCCAGGAAUCAUCCAUAAAACCUUAUUCAUUCAAAGUUAUUUAUAUGGGAAAGAAGGUUCUUUAGAUCAUUGAUAUAUUCUUCACACUAAAAAAAAUGGUUCUUUGAAAAACUUAACUUUUAUUACAAGGUUUUGUGGGGAACCAAAAUGUUUUUUUAUAUAUGGCACAUGUCUUUUUCAGGCACAUUUAUUCAUUCAUUCAUUUUCUUGUCAGCUUAGUCCCUUUAUUAAUCCGGGGUCGCCACAGCGGAAUAAACCGCCAACUUAUACAGCAAGUUUUUACACUGUGGAUGCCCUUCCAGCUGCAACCCAUCUCUGGGAAACAUCCACAAAUACAUACACACUCAUACACUACGGACAAUUUAGUCUACCCAAUUCACCUGUACCGCAUGUCUUUGGACUGUGGGGGAAACCGGAGCACCUGGAGGAAACCCACGCGAAGGCAGGGAGAACAUGCAAACUCCACACAGAAACACCAACUGAGCUGAGGUUCGAACCAGCGACCCAGCGACCUUCUUGCUGUGAGGCGACAGCACUACCUACUGCCCCACUGCCUCGCCAAUUUUUUAAUUUUCCUAAUUUUUGAAGUGGAAGUUUUGUACCUAAGAAAUUUUAUUUAUAGGAUGUUUACAUACGUGAACCUUUACCAUAAGUUUUUAGGUAUUUGUAUUUGUAUAUCAUCUGAAAGCUGAAUAAAUAGACUUUCCAUUGGUGUAUUUUUUGUCAGGGUACAAUAAUCUUUAGCAAGAUACAACUAUUCUGAAUAUCUGAAGGUUUAAAAAAAAACAAAUCUAAAUCUAAAUUGUGAGAAAACUGCCUUUAAAGUUGUCCAAAUAAAUAUUUUUGCAGAAACUUUGCAGUGUUGAUGUGUAGCCUCUAAGAACAGCAUGAGAAAAACCUUUUAUUUAUAUUCUUAAACUGUGCCUUAAAAGGUGUGCAGACAGCUCUGCAAUUAAAAUCAUUAUUGAAUUGUCAUUGAAUUUCAGUUUAUUUAUGCCUAGUUCACAUUUCUGGAUUUUAAGCCCAUUUUGAGUCCAAUUUGCAAGUCAAAAUUCAAUUUAAUUCAAUUCAUCUUUUUUUCUAUUGCACUUUUACAAUGUAGAUUGUUUCAAAGCAGCUUAAAAUAGAAGAUUAUUGUAAAUUGAAACCGUGUCAGUUCAGUUUUCAGAGUUGAAGUUUAAUUCAGUUUAGUGUUGUUUAAAUUUCACUGCUGAAAGUCCACUGAAGAGCAAAUCCAUCAAUGCGCAGCUCAACAGGUCCUGAACCAUGCAAACUAGUGGCGACAGAGGCGAGAAACAAACAUCAACAUAAUAAUAAUAAUAAUAAUAAUAAUGAAGAAGAUGUAGAAAUUAAUUUGUGGAUGAUGGAAAAAAAAAUACAAAGUUGAACAUCUGUCAGUUGUUCCUUAAACCAGGCUCAGUUGGGCACGACCGUUUCUUCUCUGUCAAUAUUUUUAAGUCUAGACUUUUUUUCUUAGACAUGUGGUUGAUGGAAUGUGUGACUGCUCCAUAACCAGUUUGUUUUCAUCUGAUUCCUUUGGUAAUUCCUUCUGAAUAUUUGUUUUAAAGCACAUUGGUCUACGAAAGUUGUUAAUAAGUGUGAUAUAGAUAUAAAAUUGUCAAUGCCCAAUGCUUUUACAUGAUAAACCAGGAGAUUUGACGUCCAUCUCUGUUACUGUAUGUCAUCAGAGGAUUAUCCAGUCACUGAAAUGUUUCUUGUAACUUAGAGGUCCUUGAUAAGCUUAUGUUCAUGCUUUUAGAAGAUAGAUUAUAAUUACUCCUGACACCUUGAAACACAUUUGAGUGA
This 3559-nucleotide long non-coding RNA is filed under the name Danio rerio (zebrafish). Its description in RNAcentral is "lncRNA (ENSDARG00000117300.1)". Lineage: Eukaryota; Metazoa; Chordata; Actinopteri; Cypriniformes; Danionidae. The record is from RNAcentral.